UCGGCGGUGGCCAGCCAGGCCCGGGCGUCU
Molecule: small RNA, 30 nt
Filed under: Bombyx mori (domestic silkworm)
Lineage: Eukaryota; Metazoa; Arthropoda; Insecta; Lepidoptera; Bombycidae
Description: ovarian small RNA-28969
Source: RNAcentral